UACGAACCGUGCGAACGUUAUUCGGAAUCACUGGGCUUAAAGCGCGUGUAGGCGGAUGGGAACGUCGGUCGUUGAAAGCCCCCGGCUCAACCGGGGAAUGGGCGCCGAAACGACCCGUCUGGAGGGACGUAGGGGGACCUGGAACUUCCGGUGGAGCGGUGAAAUGCGUAGAUAUCGUAAGGAAGACCAGUGGCGAAGGCGGUUCUCUGGGCCUUACCUGACGCUGAGGAGCGAAAGCGUGGGGAGCGAACAGG
This 254-nucleotide ribosomal RNA is filed under the name uncultured bacterium. Its description in RNAcentral is "partial 16S ribosomal RNA". It matches the Rfam family "Bacterial small subunit ribosomal RNA", at positions 524 to 776 of the family's 1533-position model. The record is from RNAcentral.